Non-coding RNA from Myodes glareolus (Bank vole), 387 nucleotides. NCBI's taxonomy places the organism in Eukaryota, Metazoa, Chordata, Mammalia, Rodentia, Cricetidae. The record is from RefSeq and is a predicted model, not a curated record.
UUUCCGUGAAGGAGCAAUUAUGGGAGACUUCUACCACAUUUACAUCUGUACAAAAGUGAAAAGACUAAAAUAUUUUAAUUAAUCUGAGGAGCUUGAAGUAGAAUAUCCUCCGGAGCAACAAAUCAAGAUAUUGGAGAAGAACUAUGUCUGUUUUCUAAUAAAAAAGCAGAAAAUGGACAGAUCUGGAAAUCUGGAAAUCCAAAUCUGUAUUGAAAAGUGAAAUGGGAAGAAACUUGGAGGAGUAGAGGACAGAGAAAUUAUAAUUAGAAAAUAUUGUAUGAAGAAAACCUGGUGAAGAAAAGAUGUACUAGACAAUGUGACUAUAAAAGCAUAUACUGUAUAUUAAAGCAAUAGUUUAACUCAUGUAAAUAAAUAUAUUUAAACAUA